AAGUCGUAACAAGGUUUCCGUAGGUGAACCUGCGGAAGGAUCAUUAUCGAUUUUGACAAAGAGCUGUAGCUGGCCUCUCAGGGGGCAAUGUGCACGCUCUAUGUUCAUCGUCUUCUUCACACCCCUGUGCACCCAUUUUGUAGGCUUUCCUUUCUGUCGUAUUCCUUUGGAGUUAAAAAGAGGGGAAGUCUAUGUGUUUUAUCACACCUGUAAUGAAAUUUUUUGGAAUGUGUUGGCAAUUAAAUGAAAAAUAUACAACUUUCAACAACGGAUCUCUUGGCUCUC
This 285-nucleotide unclassified non-coding RNA is filed under the name air metagenome. Its description in RNAcentral is "partial contains small subunit ribosomal RNA, internal transcribed spacer 1, and 5.8S ribosomal RNA". The stretch from base 1 to 46 matches the Rfam family "Eukaryotic small subunit ribosomal RNA", at positions 1786 to 1831 of the family's 1831-position model. The record is from RNAcentral.